This is a long non-coding RNA of Odocoileus virginianus texanus, 355 nucleotides long. RefSeq lists it as uncharacterized. The record is from RefSeq and is a predicted model, not a curated record. NCBI's taxonomy places the organism in Eukaryota, Metazoa, Chordata, Mammalia, Artiodactyla, Cervidae.
AUACUGGAGUGGGUUGCCAUUUCCUUCUCCAUCAAAGGGCUUUCCAAGGGCAGGGCCCCAGACCUCCUGCUACGGGUGCUCUGGACACAGCCCUGUGCAGGGUGGUCUGAGGAUGGACCAGCUAACAUACGCUGGGGGCUUAGAAGAGCAGCUAGCAUCUACUGAACGCUCCACAUGUCUUUGCUAUUCUGGAGUAGUCGGAUCAACACUGCCUCCGUGAAGCCCUCCACACUGCCGACAGGAGGCAGGCCUGUCAUCCUUGGAGCUUCCAGAACCCAAAUCCCACAUGUCAAUCACUCAGUGCAGGGUAAUGUUGAUAACAGCUGUCGCUGGUUGAGUGUUUACUAUGUGCUGG